CAUUUGAUCUUAGCUACUAUAGUCAUGUGAUUAAGAGAAGGGGUCUAUUUGAGUCAGAUGCUGCAUUGUUGACAAACUCAGUUACAAAGGCUCAAAUCAUUGAAUUGCUUGAAGGGUCAGUUGAAAAUUUCUUUGCUGAGUUUGCAACCUCCAUGGAGAAAAUGGGAAGAAUUAAUGUAAAGACAGGGACAGAAGGAGAGAUCAGGAAGCAUUGUGCAUUUGUAAAUAGCUAAGAAUCUUGUCUUGUUCAUGGAUGAAUCUUGUAUCAUUUAUUUUUUGGGUUUGGUUAUUUAUGCUAUGCCAUGUUUUUUUAUUAGUUAUGCUAUGCCAUGUGGUGUCUGUCUACAUAUGAGUGAUCCCGUAUGGUAUGGUUGUUGUAUGUGCGAUGGAAUAAGUGGGUUCCAUUGUUAUUCUUAUAAUUUCCAACUUUGCUGGUAGAUCUUGUAAUAAGAAGCAGAAUUUCUUGUGCUACCCACAGCUGAGUUAAUUUAUGUUUAGUUUUUUAUUUAUUGAUGUACUUUUUCACUGAUAUUCUCAAUUUAAUUUCUUUUUUGGUUUAAUUGAAGCUGAAUGCUUGUUCAUUAUUUUUAAACUAUACAAACAGAGAAUGUGAAGAAAGUAUCCAAGGCAAAAGCAACACAAUCCAAUAUAGGCAAAGUUGUACUUGUGAGGUUGUGUUCUAUAAAAUUAUUUCUUCUAGAUCAGAAAUUUUACUUGGUUAUUGAUAAAUUGAUUAUUGAUUAAUAGCAUCUAUCAUUUGGGAAUGAACUGAUAUGUUUUUUAAGCAAAAAAGAAAAACUUUGUUAACUGAACAACAAACUUUGUUGACCAAUAAUUAUUUCUCGUGUUACUGGAUGUGGAUGCAGGGUCCAGUAUUAAAUUUAAGAUAAAAGAAAAGGGAGGUGUGAACAUUACUUUUAUAUUUUUUUUAACCAUGUUAACAUUACCUUUAUAUAAAUAUAAAUUAACUAUUUAUCUGUUUAUAAUAUAUAAAUCUUAGAGAUACAAAAUAUAUUGUCACAUCAGAUUAUUUAUCUGUGUUAAUAUAUGAAAUCAUAUGUGUUAAUAUAUGAAAAUUUUUAUUGUCUAUUAUAUCUCUCCUUUAUUAAAAGAUAUAUAAAUAUACCUAUUCCACUGUCCAUCUAAAUUUAGAUUAAGUUGUCAAAUGUAAUAUUUAUUUUCUUCUCUCCUAAAUCCUCUGCAUUUCCCAAUGCUAUAAUUUUCACAAGAAAUCAAAUACAAGUGAUAUUUAUAAUUCUUUCUGUUAUAUUAUUCUUUAUAAGUGUUUUCGUUAUCGGUAAUUGAAACACCUUUUUGAAAAAAAAGUCUUUUUUAUUAAAAUUCUCUUCAUUUUUCACUCUGAGUUUAAGUAUUGUGAAUUUCUCUUUUAAUGAUUUGGGUUUUGUUGGAUUUUAGAUGAUUCAAAGAUCAUUGGAGAAUGGUGCUAAAUGAGUUAUAACAAUAAACCAAUUAAAAAAACUACAACAAGAUUUGGGAGAUGUUGAGAUCAUCAAAUUUGGGAUACAUCCAACUAAGGAGCUAUUCAUUACUAAUGUAAGUUUUAAUUUUGUUUUCCUAUGAUAAUGUUGAAAUGUUGAUUUUUCCUUAUUCACAUUAAGUUUUUCAUAUUUGCUUAUGUGAAUCCUCUUCUUAAUUUUCACAUAAUCAACUAAUAAAAGGUUAUAAAUUUGAACAAAAAAAUGCCUUCUUUUUUUUUUUCCUGGGCUAAGAGUGUUCGCUUACAUAUAUAAGGUCGGUUAAGUUUUCUACAAGCAUAAAACCACAAUGAAGCUUUGCUUUGAAUGGAAAGGAAUGUGCAUUAGCAUGCUUUUUUUUUUUUUUUCAUUUUAUUAUUACAAUUUAAAACUAUUAGUUGCUGGUUAUAAAUUAUAACAUUACCAUUUAUUAUUAAUAUUUUGAAAUAUCACUUACUCAAUACAAAUUCUAAUAUAAUUAUUACGUUUUGUUAUGAUACAAAUGUCUAAAUUAAUUUUAAUUAAUAAAAUGUUUAUAUUUAUUACAAAUUUUAAUAUAUGAUAUUAUAGAAAUAUUUAAAUUUACUUAAAUCAUUAUUGUAUUAAAAGUUAUAAAUUCAAAUUAAAAUGACAUGACAAUGAGGACAGUUACAUAAAAGAGUUAUAACAUAUCUAUGUCUAUAUUACAAUGAUAUAUGUCUUUUAAAUAAAUAUUGUACAUUAUAUAUAUAUAUAUAUAUUAUUUAUUAUUUUUUAACUUUUAUGUUUCAUAUUAGUAUUGCAUUAAUAUUAUUACUUGAAAAAAAAUUAUAGUAAAAUUCAACGGUUUCAAGAAAAAAUAUGUUCAUUAAAAAUAUAAUAUUUAACAUUAUUUUUCAAUUUUAAUAUUUAUAUAUUUUUUUCAUUACUAAAAUUCUUUAAAAUGGAUAAUUUUAGUUACAUACAUUUAUUUUUCAAAAGAUAUCGCAUCACCAUUGUUAUCUGGAUGAACAAAAAAUUGCAAUAAGUUUUCAUAUACUUAAUUUUUAAGAUAAAAUAAAUUUAAUUAAAAAUAUAAUUAAUUAACUUUCUCAUUAAUAAUAUAAUUAUGUUUAACAUAAUAUUAAAUAUUUAAAAAUUGUUGUUUUUAUAUAUAUAAUUUAAAAAAACCCGUGCCACGCACGAUUCGAAAGUCUAAUUCUUGUAUUAUUAAUUUGAAUUUCUAUUUUAAAACGUGAAAAUGUUUUUAAUAUUUUUUAUGAUACAUGAUUUUAUCAUUAUUUAACACUUAUUUUUUACUUUUAAAAACUCCCACUUUAUAAAUUUUCUUUUCACAUCAAGAUCUUAGUUUUAAUUACCUUUAAGUUUCUACAUUAAAAAUUUCUUUUUACACCAGAAACUUCUGCUUUUAAGUAGACAAAAGCCAAAUAGUUAAGCUAAAGGUUUAAAAUUAGAUAUAUUAAUUAACCCCAGCUGAAGAGUUAGUCAAAGGAAGUAAGACUGAGCCUCACUUCCAACCACUCACAGUUUGAACUCUUAAUAUUUUUUUAGAAUAAGAUAAAUGUAAGUCUUGGAGGCGCCAUCCACCUCACAACAAUUUUAGUCACACACAGAAAAAAGAAGAAUUGGGUAUAUUAAGGCUUAACUUUUCUAAGAAAAGUAAAAAUUCUUAUAAUUAGUUUAAAUAAAACAGUGAAACUGGACCAAACGGCUGAGUGAUUAAGUAAAGGCAAGUAGAAUUCAACUUUUAAUUUAGACCUCUGCAAUUAGGCAUGGCAAUGUAACUUUGGAGAAAGACAAAUUAGUCACUUAUAAAAUAUGUUGCAAUGUUACCUGAUUUUCCCUGCUAUCCAAAACUGGUAACCCCCCUUUUGUUUCUCUUUUAUCUAAUAUGCUGCAAUGUUACCUGUAAGUAAUGUAACCCAAAUCGAUUCACUUAUGAAAUUAGUCACUUCUUGUUGAACUUUGAUACCGAGUGAAAUAUAAUUGUUUUCAAAAGUUUUUUUCUCGAUUAGUUUUUAAGUCAUAAUUAGCUAAAAUAAUAUUCAGAUAAUCCGUGUUUAAAUAAUAUUUUUCAUUAACAAAUAGGGAGAAGUGAGGUUAGUAUUUAAAAUAGUAGUUUGAUUGAGAAAUAUAAAUUGUUUUCAAGCACAAAAAUGUGCAUGAUGACGUUAGAGUAGUUACAUCUUCAAGUGUAAAAUAAUAAAAAAAAUGUAUAAAGGAGUUAUUUAACGGUUGGAUAUGCCCUCUCUUCUCCGUGUGUGAUUGCAUUUAUAUUUGUUAAUUAAGGACAUAAUGGUCUAAUAAAAGUAAACACUAAAAGUAGUUAACAAAAGUAAUAUUUCCUUUAUUAUCUAUUGUUGUAAAUAUUGAUAGGCAAUGACAGUUGAUGGAACGUGAACUAGAUUUUCUCAGCUAGUCAGCCAUGUAAGUUUUAUGACUAUAUAAGCUAUAUUUUUUUAUAUAUAUAUAUAUAUUCCCUUGGUCCCUGUUAGUGAAGCAAAUGCAAGAGAAGCCAGUGAAAAAAAAUCAUUGUUUAACCUUGUGAUCGAGACAUGAUUUGUUAAAAACAAUUUGUGAACCAGUAUCUAUAUCUAUAUCUAUAUUCUUAAUAAAUAAUUCGCUGCAAAAGAAUUUUUUUAGUGUGCAUAUCACAAUUAAUUACUUUUUUUUUUAAAGACGAAGAAGCCAUUUUUAUGUAUAGGCUCUUGAACUAAUUUUUUAAAAAUUAGAACCCUAAACUAAAAAAUAGGUCCCUAGGUUAGUUUAUGAUAGCUUGAAACUACCACAAAAUGAUAAUUUAUACCGAUUUAAAAAUCUUAGAGACUCAAUUAAAUUUCUUUUAUAUAGAUUUGGAUUGCGCUGCAAAAUAGCAGUAGAACUGUUCCAUACAUUUUUAAUUCAUGGUCUAAUUUAAAAGCAUUUUAAUUCAAACAUACCAAUUGCUAAGAGUAAAAUUCAAUAAAAAGAAUCGAUUGUAUGCAAAAUAUUGCAAGAAGUUAUGAAGGAAAUCUCAUGUUGCUUAAUAAACCGCCUACUCUGCAUAUAGGCAUUCCAACCCAUUUUAAUAGAAGGGCAUGCUCUUUGUUUGCAUUCAUUAGUGUGUAAAGGAUUCAAUGCAAACUUUGAUGGGAAUCAAAUGGUUGUUCACUUGCCUUUAUUUUUAGAAGUUCAAGCAUAAGUUUAUUUACUUAUGUUUUCUCAUACGAAUCUCUUGUCUCCAGCUACUGGGAAAGACCCAAUUAAAAAAUAAAAUUUAAAGACCUAUUUGAAAAUUCUCAAAUAGUUCAUACCCAAAACUUUAACUUAGAUAAAAAAAAAAAUCAUAGUCAAAAUGAUAGUGACGAUUCUAGUUUUAAUUAUUUUGAUUAUUUAGUACGUGCUAUGAAUUCAUUAUCAAUUCAAAUGUGAAGAAAAUAAUAUUGUUUCAAAAGGAUAUUAAUUACUAGAUUCGAAAAAAAAUAUAUAUUUUUUAUAAAUACACUACCGAGUAAUUUAACCAAGUUUAAAUUAUAAUUCUAUUUUUUUCACUGAAUAAAAUAUAUUUAUAUAAUUCUAAUGCUCUGUUUACUUCAAUGGCUAAUUGGUUAUACCUAUAUAUUCAAGCAUUGUUUUAAUGAAAGCAAACAAGAAAUAACAUAUAUGGCUAGGAAGAAUAGAACAAAAACAAAUUAGCCACAUAAAGUAAGCUCUUACAUAUUAUAAAAACAUGCCUAUGAUAUGUCCAUAGAUUUCAAGGGAGCUAAUACCGGAAAGCGUCAAGGAUUUUAUACUUUACAGCUAAAGUUUCAGUCUCAGAGAAAAUGAUGACACUGAAUCAUUGAGCAUACACAAUGAAUUACAUCACAAAAUCACUUUAGGGAUAUAUGACUCACAUUUGUUGUCAAAUAUCGUUGGCUCAAUGUGCGAAGCGAUUAAAGUAAUGGAUUCGCAGUAUAGGAGCAGGUAAGUCAAUUUUUUAUUCUAAAAUUCCCCGUUGAGAAUUUUUUUAUAUGUAAAAGAUAAUAUUAGAAAAUUUAUAAUAACUCACAUUUAGAGCUCCUGAGAUUUCACAUUGAGACUAUAUUAUAUAUUAGAAUCACGAGAUAUUCAACGAUUACUUUGUUGAUAUAUAUAUGUUAAGCCGCCACAUUGUUUAAAGUAUUUAAUUUAUAUGCAUUGUUACUAUAAAAUAUUAAUACACAAGGUAAAUAUUUCUACUACAUGUUCACGUAAAAAUAUUUUAUGUAAAUUAAACUCUUGUUUAAAAUGGUACUAGUACCUAUACAAGCAGAUUAAAUCUAUAAAAAUAUGGUCCAAAGAGGUAGAUUUUGUAUAGCAUCCCAUGCUUUGAAGAACGUAUAUCAACAUCCAGUAUAGUAUCUAGUAAAUUACUGACUAAAAUCUAGUGACGUGUACUGAAGCUUUCAGAAAUUCAACUAUUUGGAACUCGCUAUAUUAAUUUGUCCUAUUUAAGUGCACAGCAGUCAACUAAUCAUUUUUUUAUUAGAGAGUUAGAUACAAUUAUUGCAUGCAAAUGGAUGAUAAAGUAGCAUGUAGCAUCACCUUAUCGCACAUGUUAGUUAGCUGCAUGGACCAUCUCUAUGAUUUGUCAUGUGUCUUGUAGCUCAACUUCAGGACUAUAUAUGACCACUAUAGUGGAAACAGCAAAGAGAAAUGAAAUUGCCUCUUUCAAGAAGCAUCUGAGUGCUUAUUAUUUGUAAUAUAUAUAGUCACUCAAGCUUCUAGGAUUUGUGCCAGCUACAUGAAAAUGGGAAGCAACUUCAGGUUUUUGAGUCUUUGCCUCUUGGCAUUGAUUGCAUCAUCUCAUGCUCAACUUCAGCUUGGUUUUUAUGCCAAGAGUUGCCCAAAAGCUGAGCAAAUCAUUUUGAAAUUUGUUCAUGAACAUAUCCACAAUGCUCCAUCACUAGCAGCUGCAUUGAUAAGAAUGCACUUCCAUGACUGUUUUGUAAGGGUAUGUGGUUCAAGCCUAUACUUACCUUUCAUUUUUACUUAACAAGCAUACUAUGUUAGAUUAAGGAGCUAACUAACAUGAAGCAUUUCAGGGAUGUGAUGGAUCGGUGCUUCUGAACUCAACAACCAAUCAGGCUGAAAAGAAUGCUCCUCCAAAUCUCACAGUUAGAGGCUUUGACUUCAUUGACAGAAUAAAGAGCCUUGUUGAGGCUGAAUGCCCUGGUGUGGUCUCUUGUGCUGAUAUCCUCACCUUGGCUUCCAGAGAUUCAAUUGUAGCCACAGUAAGUGCUCAAUUUCUAUCAAGAAAAUCUUAAGAGUAUAAGUACAACUUCUGCUUCACCUUUAUUAUCUUUAUACUUUCUUUUUGAGAACAAGAAUAACCCAUUUGCGGGUUUGUGCCAUUACUGACUGAUUUUCAGGGUGGACCCUAUUGGAAAGUUCCAACAGGUCGAAGGGAUGGGGUCAUCUCUAACUUGGUGGAAGCCAGAAAUAACAUUCCUGCUCCAUUUGACAACAUCACUACGCUACAGACACUCUUUGCCAACCAAGGACUUGAUUUGAAGGACUUGGUCCUGCUCUCUGGUAUUAUUUGAAAGGCUUAAAUAUGUUUUUAAUCUCUCAAAUUUAAAAUAAGUUUAAUUUUGGUCUUCCUAAUUUCAAAUUGAUCUUUUUAUUCCAUAUAAUUUGAAGAAUGUCUUUUUUAGUGGCUCAACGUAAAUGUUCUUAGAGACUUGGCUUAUGUAGCUAACAAAUUAUAAGUUGUUUACAUGACAAAAGAUUAAUUUUAUAUUUGGAGGAAAAAAACAAAUUCAUUUUGAUUUUGCAUUUUGAGCAGAGGGACUAAAACACACUCUUUUUUUUCAAGUUAUAUGGACAAAAGAUUAAUUUUAUAUUUGGAGGAAAAAAACAAAUUUAUCGAAAUAACUAAAAACAUAUUUAAGCUUGAUUGAAAAUACACCUAAAUAUUUAGAGUUUGAAGUGGAUAAUUUUGUUUUUAAGGAAUUUGUUAAUUAUCUUUCAAAACUUUAGAAUGCUGUUUAGAUAAAGAUAAAAAUAAGUGUCUUGUUCCUAUCAUUCAUGCUUGCCUAUUUGCUUUUAAGGUUAGAACGUUGUUAGUAUUUGAAUUUUGUGUCUUGUUCUUGUGCUUGUAAUCACCAAGAGUUCAAAUUGUUUCAGGUGCUCACACAAUUGGUAUCGCUCAUUGCUCAUCAUUGUCAAACCGCUUGUUCAAUUUCACUGGCAAGGGUGAUCAAGACCCAUCAUUAGACAGUGAAUAUGCUGCAAAUCUGAAAACCUUCAAGUGCAAGGACCUCAAUAAGUUGAACACCACCAAAAUUGAGAUGGACCCUGGAAGUCGCAAGACAUUUGAUCUUAGCUACUAUAGUCACGUUAUUAAGAGAAGGGGUCUAUUUGAGUCAGAUGCUGCAUUGUUGACUAAUUCAGUUACAAAGGCUCAAAUCAUUGAAUUGCUUGAAGGGUCAGUUGAAAAAUUCUUUGCUGAGUUUGCAACCUCCAUAGAGAAAAUGGGAAGAAUUAAGGUGAAGACAGGGACAGAGGGAGAGAUCAGAAAGCAUUGUGCAUUUGUUAAUAGCUAAGAAUCUUGUCUUGUUCAUGGAUGAAUCUUGUAUCAUUUAUUUUUUGGGUUUGGUUAUUUAUGCGAUG
This 8069-nucleotide long non-coding RNA is filed under the name Glycine max (soybean). RNAcentral describes it as "long non-coding RNA (GMAX_LNC002719)". Lineage: Eukaryota; Viridiplantae; Streptophyta; Magnoliopsida; Fabales; Fabaceae. The record is from RNAcentral.